Molecule: ribosomal RNA, 386 nt
Filed under: uncultured methanogenic archaeon
Lineage: Archaea; Methanobacteriati; Methanobacteriota
Description: bacterial SSU rRNA
Rfam family: Archaeal small subunit ribosomal RNA
Source: RNAcentral
UCGAUUAGCAUGCGAGUCGAGAGGUGCAAGACCUCGGCGCACUGCUCAGUAACACGUGGACAACCUACCCUGUGGAGGGGGAUAACCCCGGAAAACUGGGGAUAAUACCCCAUAGGUUAGGGAGGCUGGAAUGCCCCCUAGCUCAAAGGUCCGCCGCCACAGGAUGGGUCUGCGGCCGAUUAGGUUGUUGUUGGGGUAACGGCCCAACAAGCCUUUGAUCGGUACGGGUUGUGGGAGCAAGUGCCCGGAGAUGGAUUCUGAGACACGAAUCCAGGCCCUACGGGGCGCAGNAGGCGCGAAAACUUUACAAUGCGAGAAAUCGUGAUAAGGGAACCCCGAGUGCCCGUAAAUUCGGGCUGUCCGCCAGUGCAAAAAACUGGUGAAGA